This 458-nucleotide ribosomal RNA is filed under the name Enterococcus faecalis. Its description in RNAcentral is "bacterial SSU rRNA". It matches the Rfam family "Bacterial small subunit ribosomal RNA", at positions 28 to 464 of the family's 1533-position model. Lineage: Bacteria; Bacillati; Bacillota; Bacilli; Lactobacillales; Enterococcaceae. The record is from RNAcentral.
GACGAACGCUGGCGGCGUGCCUAAUACAUGCAAGUCGAACGCUUCUUUCCUCCCGAGUGCUUGCACUCAAUUGGAAAGAGGAGUGGCGGACGGGUGAGUAACACGUGGGUAACCUACCCAUCAGGGGGGGAUAACACUUGGAAACAGGUGCUAAUACCGCAUAACAGUUUAUGCCGCAUGGCAUAAGAGUGAAAGGCGCUUUCGGGUGUCGCUGACGGAUGGACCCGCGGUGCAUUAGCUAGUUGGUGAGGUAACGGCUCACCAAGGCCACGAUGCAUAGCCGACCUGAGAGGGUGAUCGGCCACACUGGGACUGAGACACGGCCCAGACUCCUACGGGAGGCAGCAGUAGGGAAUCUUCGGCAAUGGACGAAAGUCUGACCGAGCAACGCCGCGUGAGUGAAGAAGGUUUUCGGAUCGUAAAACUCUGUUGUUAGAGAAGAACAAGGACGUUAGUAA